This 236-nucleotide long non-coding RNA is filed under the name Sorghum bicolor (sorghum). RNAcentral describes it as "long non-coding RNA (SBIC_LNC001554)". Lineage: Eukaryota; Viridiplantae; Streptophyta; Magnoliopsida; Poales; Poaceae. The record is from RNAcentral.
GACAUUAACGAACAAAUCAGCCACAGCAAUGAGGCGCAAGAUCCAGCAGCGCAGACAACACUACUAGUCAGUGCCUACAUCGCAUACACGUCACAGACUGUCAGCGCAUUACAUGACUAGACAAUUUAAGCAUUCGACACUAGUAAUAACACCAGCAAAGGUAGCAGCAACACAUAGUGCGGCAGUAGAGAAACUUAUGAUCCACAAAACAAACCCUACUCAUAUGUCCUUACAAC